UCUUUCUUUCUUUCUUUCUUUCUUUCUUUCGAUAGAAUUCUGCUAAAUUGCCUAGGCUGGACUUGAACUUCUGAUCUUCCUGCUUCAGCCUCCCAGAGAGGUAGGAUUACAGCAUCCAGAUCGCUGGUGGCUCCUGGUCCCCAAGACUGCCUGAGCCGCGGAGUAACCUCAGGGCGGAGGGCACUCCUGUCUCCAUAGUCUGUGGCGCCAGCCGCCUCUUUCUCAAGGAAGAGUCCACAGACAAGGUCUCACAAUGUAGCCCAGAUCCUCCUGGCUCAGUCUCCUCAGUGCUGGGAUUACAGGCGCAUCACAUGUCCAGUGGCAACGUCUUUUACUGUAAUAAUUUUUUUAAAAACACUGUGGGAGGGAAGGGGAAGGAAAGAAUCAAGAUGUGCCAUGUCGGCCCGGGAUUUAGCUCAGUGGCACCUUGCCUGCUUGGCAAGCGCAAGGGUUUGAGUUCAAUCCCCGGUACCAAAAAAACCCAAGCCAAAACAAGAUGUGCUAUGUCCACGUACCACCUUCCCACGAGGAGUGUAAUCACUAGGUACUGCAAACAAACCGUCACUGUAUUUUUUGAUCACCGGGUACGUUCUCUCCCCACGGCCCCAGCGCGCCUCUCCGCUCCACCUGCAGAGCAAAGCCCCGGCACUUGGUGGCGCCAUCCUCCAAGUGAAAACCAACAGGGGACUGGAAUGACAAAGUCCUGGACUUCGGGGCCAGUUGUGUCAGUUUAUACUGAUAGGAUGCAGGACACAACGGCCCACAGCCAGCCCGGACUCAGCUUCCCCCUCUCUGUUCAGGACCAGAACCAACAGGCGUUUUCGCAAAGUGCUGCGCAACAGCGGGGUCCUCCGUUCUGCCUCUUGGAGCAACUCGCUUGCCGCCCAGUCACCGUCGAUCAGUCACUAUCGGGUAGAGCCAGAGUCCAUCAUUCGCGUUCAGUUCACCGAGAAGUCAGAACGCAACUGAAUCCGACCGCAAGAUCUGGGGAUCCUAGUGCCUGCUGUUUGUUUCGGCUACGAAACACCGCGCGAUUCCUAGGGCAACAACUCUGGACUAAAUCCAAGUCCUGCCAGGCCCAGCCCUUUCGUAGUCUCGCCCAACCACCGCCCCCAAGAUGAUAUCCAAUCGUAAGCCCCGCUCGCCCAAAACUCUGCC
This 1158-nucleotide long non-coding RNA is filed under the name Heterocephalus glaber (naked mole-rat). Its description in RNAcentral is "lncRNA (ENSHGLG00000037838.1)". The record is from RNAcentral. Lineage: Eukaryota; Metazoa; Chordata; Mammalia; Rodentia; Bathyergidae.